GGAGAGAUGCGAGAGCGGUUGAAUCGGACGGUCUCGAAAACCGUUGAGCCCGUCAGGGCUCCGAGGGUUCGAAUCCCUCUCUCUCCG
Molecule: transfer RNA, 87 nt
Filed under: Treponema sp.
Lineage: Bacteria; Pseudomonadati; Spirochaetota; Spirochaetia; Treponematales; Treponemataceae
Description: tRNA-Ser
Rfam family: tRNA
About the family: Transfer RNA (tRNA) molecules are approximately 80 nucleotides in length. Their secondary structure includes four short double-helical elements and three loops (D, anti-codon, and T loops).
Source: RNAcentral